UAGUCCACGCCGUAAACGAUGUCAACUAGGUGUUGGGACGGUUAAUCGUCUCAUUGCCGCAGCUAACGCAUUAAGUUGACCGCCUGGGGAGUACGGUCGCAAGAUUAAAACUCAAAGAAAUUGACGGGGGAGCGCACAACCAGUGGAGCAUGUGGUUUAAUUCGACACAAAGCGAAGAACCUUACCUGGGCUUGACAUGUACCUGCAAGCUCUAUGAAAGUAGAGCCGCCUACGAGGGUGGUACACAGGUGCUGCAUGGCUGUCGUCAGCUCGUGUCGUGAGACGUCCGCUUAAGUGCGGUAACGAGCGCAACCCCCACUGUAUGUUAAAUGAUCAUACGGGACUGCCUUACAGCAAGUAGGGAGGAAGGAGGGGAUGACGUCAAGUCAGCAUGGCCCUUACGCCCAGGGCAACACACAUCCUACAAUGGGGAGGACAGUGGGUCGCGACGGAGUAAUCCUGAGCUAAUCCUCAAACCUCUCCUCAGUUCGGAUUGUGGG
This 500-nucleotide ribosomal RNA is filed under the name uncultured bacterium. RNAcentral's name for it is "bacterial SSU rRNA". It matches the Rfam family "Bacterial small subunit ribosomal RNA", at positions 791 to 1304 of the family's 1533-position model. The record is from RNAcentral.